AUCUUUUUAGUAUAUUUAAAUUAUAUUUGACUUCCAAUCAAAAGAUCUUGAUUAAGAAAAGAUA
This 64-nucleotide transfer RNA is filed under the name Menida lata. Its description in RNAcentral is "tRNA-Gly". Lineage: Eukaryota; Metazoa; Arthropoda; Insecta; Hemiptera; Pentatomidae. The record is from RNAcentral.